Molecule: long non-coding RNA, 679 nt
Filed under: Anas platyrhynchos platyrhynchos (common mallard)
Lineage: Eukaryota; Metazoa; Chordata; Aves; Anseriformes; Anatidae
Description: lncRNA (ENSAPLG00000027244.1)
Source: RNAcentral
UAAGCUGCAGAAGCCACAAAGAGCAGAGGAGCCCUCUGCAUUGUGAUUUGGAGCUUGCACAAACCUCUGCCUAGCGAGGAAAGGGAACGGGAACAGAGAGAGGGCAACGUGGGACUGUGGCUCCCUAGCCAUGAAGUCUGCUGGCCACCUCUUCUGGGAGAAAUAGCACAAGCAAGGACUGAGUGAUGGGGCUGAGCAUAGCAAGCUCAUUCUCAUCAUGGCAAAAAGAUUAGGGAGGAGCUGCAAAGUUUGGUACCAAGGGAUUGUGCUUUAAUUGUUUUUUUUUAGUAAUUCACCCCAAAGCACUGAUGGACAUAUUAAUAAGUGGUAAUAAUUGGAAAGGUAAGCUCUGAGCUAGCAAAAUGUUUUUAUUUUUUAUUAUUUUAUUUUUAUUUUUUUUAAUAUUUUUUAUUUUUAUUUAUUCCUUGCCGUCGGAUAGCCAUGUUAAGGAAAGACUGGUGGGACAUCAAAGACAUCUGAACACUCUGGGAGAGUUUUGGCAUGUGAGGCUGAAGUGUCAGCUGAUGCAAAACUUCAAUGGGUAUUGAGGAGUGCUGAGAGUUCAUCCCACACUGGUGGGUUUGUGCUUUUCCAGCCCAACUAUCACAGCCAAAUGGGAAGGUAUGAUAUCUGGUACCCAAUUAGAAAAGAUUGGCAGUUGUAAUAAGACCAAAGAAGG